Molecule: long non-coding RNA, 338 nt
Organism: Dreissena polymorpha
Lineage: Eukaryota; Metazoa; Mollusca; Bivalvia; Myida; Dreissenidae
Exons: 2
Source: RefSeq, a predicted model, not a curated record
CCUCCCCAAGGUGUGACGAGAGUCUUCAAGCACUAAACUCACAGUCUGCACAAUAUCCGAAAAGAGUGCUAUGGUGCUGUCAUGCUCCUGAACCGGUACUUCCGUGGCUGAGAGAGCUGGCCAUUCUGUAGGAUCUUGAACAGCAGCCUCCACACACAGCUGGUUUGGCAGGUCGUCAUGUAUGGAUGCUAAACACCUCCUAGCCCCUUCAGCACUCAGAUGUAGUCCAUCAUGGGACAAGUACAGGGACUUCUUAAAAUUAAAUUUUGAUUAUUGAUAGUUACCGUACUAAUUUGUUUUAAACAUAACUAAGAUAUUAAAGCAGCAAAUUAAAUGAA